This 414-nucleotide ribosomal RNA is filed under the name uncultured microorganism. RNAcentral describes it as "bacterial SSU rRNA". It matches the Rfam family "Archaeal small subunit ribosomal RNA", at positions 330 to 745 of the family's 1478-position model. The record is from RNAcentral.
GUGCAGCAGUCGAGAAACCUCCGCAAUACACGAAAGUGUGACGGGGCCAUCCCGAGUGCCGUCCGCUGAGGACGGCUUUUCCCCAGUGUACACAGCUGGGGGAAUAAGGAGAGGGCAAGCCUGGUGUCAGCCGCCGCGGUAAUACCAGCUCUCCGAGUGGUGGGGACGCUUAUUGGGCCUAAAGCAUCCGUAGCCGGCUGGGCAAGUCCUCCGUUAAAUCCAACGAUUCAAUCGUUGGGCUGCGGGGGAUACUGUCCAGCUUGGGGGCGGGAGAGGCCGACGGUAUUCCCGGGGUAGGGUGAAAUCCUAUAAUCCCGGGAGGACCACCAGUGGCGAAGGCUGUCGGCUAGAACGCGCCCGACGGUGAGGGGAUGAAAGCUGGGGGAGCGAACCGGAUUAGAUACCCCGUGUAGU